GUCGGGAUAGCUCAGUUGGUAGAGCAGAGGACUGAAAAUCCU
Molecule: transfer RNA, 42 nt
Filed under: Puya raimondii
Lineage: Eukaryota; Viridiplantae; Streptophyta; Magnoliopsida; Poales; Bromeliaceae
Also listed under: 2 other names
Description: partial tRNA-Phe
Rfam family: tRNA
About the family: Transfer RNA (tRNA) molecules are approximately 80 nucleotides in length. Their secondary structure includes four short double-helical elements and three loops (D, anti-codon, and T loops).
Source: RNAcentral